RNAcentral lists this ribosomal RNA (1117 nucleotides) under Triticum aestivum (bread wheat). RNAcentral describes it as "partial small subunit ribosomal RNA". Lineage: Eukaryota; Viridiplantae; Streptophyta; Magnoliopsida; Poales; Poaceae. The record is from RNAcentral.
AUGUAUCUAUCAUGUGAUUUCCCUCGAUGCAUGCAUUUAGUUUCCAUUAGAUCCCUCCUCCGACGCCCCUCCUCCCCCAUCCCCGGCCAUCCCCCUUCCAUCACCCUUAAUGUCCCAGUCGCCGCUCUCUCUCUCUCUCUCCCUCUCGGUUCAGUGAGAUGGGAUCCACUCCCGCAGCCACCGCCCCACCCUCACACUCACCAUCGACGACCCCCGCCGCCAUCGCACACCAUAGCGCCAUCCCCUCACCCUAGCCCCAGGUCAGGCAGACGACGAGUACGCCGACCCGGCAGUCAUCAUCGCCUCCGAGACGGACGCGUGUUGGCGGCACAUGGGGCCCACAUCAUCAUGGCCGUGCGCAACCUCGCCGCGGCAGAGGCCGUGCGCCAGGUCGUCCUUGCCGAGACCCCCGUCGCCAGCCUCAACCUGAUAGAGCUGGACCUCUCCCCACUGACCUCCAUCCGCAACUUCGCCGCCAACUUCGCCGACAGGGGCCUACCGCUGAACAUCCUCAUUUGUUUUGCGCAUUGUCUUGUAUUGCCUUCCCUGGUAGCUCAUAGCCUGGGAGAUAGGAUGCAGAAAUUGGAUGAAGAUGAUCACAUUGUUCCUCUUUCCAUAAUCCUUCAUAUUUUCUGCGUGCUGCUAUCAACUGAAUUUAAUCAUCUUUCUUUGAUGACAAUUCAACAUACCCCUGCCCUUUCGGAGAGGGAAGGUUUCCCACUCAUGGACACCUAGCUGAAUGCCUGAACCUGAACCUCGUUUUUCUUCUUCUUCUUCUUCUUCUUCUUCUUCUUGGUAAUUCCUUGUUGAUUCCUUCUGGGCAUGCUAUAUUAUUGGGUGCAACAACAAAUUAUUGUCCUUGUUUUGAUUUCCUUCCUGUCAAGUUCAUCCUUUAGUGCUAGUACUAGUGGUACAUCAGUUUGAUUUAGGAAAAACACCAGCCUCUGCUUAACAUUAAAUCUAGUCAAGCAAUUGAUGCACAACAUAUUUGUUUUUGUACAACAACAAUCCGUUAAACGAUCUGGCCUGUAUACACAUGUUGAGGAAGAGAGAGAGGAUAUAUACUUGUUCUGUUGCUUCUAUAUACAUGUAUAUACGUUUAGUUAUUCAACAUGCU